CCGAGUUUACAACUCCCAAACCCCUGUGAACCAUACCUAUCGUUGCUUCGGCGGCCGCGCCCCGGUGCCCCCGGGCCCGGACCAAGGCGCCCGCCGGAGGCCAAAAAACCACUGUGUAUUAGUGUAUUCUUCUGAGUAAAACAAGUUAAAUAAAUCA
Molecule: unclassified non-coding RNA, 157 nt
Filed under: uncultured Nectriaceae
Lineage: Eukaryota; Fungi; Ascomycota; Sordariomycetes; Hypocreales; Nectriaceae
Description: sequence contains ITS1
Source: RNAcentral